AGCGAACGUUAGCGGCGGGCCUAACACAUGCAAGUCGAACGCGAAAGGUCUUCGGACUGAGUAGAGUGGCGCACGGGUGAGUAACACGUAGGUAAUCUACCCUUUGGCGGGGGAUAACGUUCCGAAAGGAGCGCUAAUACCGCAUAAGACCACGGAGUCUCCGGACGCUGUGGGAAAAGGUGGCCUCUUCUUGAAAGCUACCACCGAAGGAUGAGCCUGCGUCCCAUCAGCUAGUUGGUAAGGUAAUGGCUUACCAAGGCGAAGACGGGUAGCUGGUUUGAGAGAAUGAUCAGCCACACUGGCACUGGGACACGGGCCAGACUCCUACGGGAGGCAGCAGUGAGGAAUAUUGGGCAAUGGGCGAAAGCCUGACCCAGCCACGCCGCGUGAGUGAUGAAGGCCCUCGGGUCGUAAAGCUCUGUGGAGAGGGACGAAAACCCUGGUUUCAAAUAGGCUCCAGGCUUGACGGUACCUCUUUAGCAAGCACCGGCUAACUCUGUGCCAGCAGCC
RNAcentral lists this ribosomal RNA (510 nucleotides) under uncultured bacterium. RNAcentral describes it as "bacterial SSU rRNA". It matches the Rfam family "Bacterial small subunit ribosomal RNA", at positions 29 to 516 of the family's 1533-position model. The record is from RNAcentral.